CAGCCGCCGCGGUAAAACGUAGGUGGCAAGCGUUGUCCGGAAUUAUUGGGCGUAAAGGGCUCGCAGGCGGUUUCUUAAGUCUGAUGUGAAAGCCCCCGGCUCAACCGGGGAGGGUCAUUGGAAACUGGGAAACUUGAGUGCAGAAGAGGAGAGUGGAAUUCCACGUGUAGCGGUGAAAUGCGUAGAGAUGUGGAGGAACACCAGUGGCGAAGGCGACUCUCUGGUCUGUAACUGACGCUGAGGAGCGAAGGCGUGGGGAGCGAACAGGAUUAGAUACCCCUGUAGUCCCUGUCUCUUAUAC
This 301-nucleotide ribosomal RNA is filed under the name uncultured bacterium. RNAcentral's name for it is "partial 16S ribosomal RNA". It matches the Rfam family "Bacterial small subunit ribosomal RNA", at positions 509 to 807 of the family's 1533-position model. The record is from RNAcentral.